RNAcentral lists this ribosomal RNA (253 nucleotides) under uncultured bacterium. Its description in RNAcentral is "partial 16S ribosomal RNA". It matches the Rfam family "Bacterial small subunit ribosomal RNA", at positions 524 to 776 of the family's 1533-position model. The record is from RNAcentral.
UACGUAGGGUGCGAGCGUUGUCCGGAAUUAUUGGGCGUAAAGAGCUCGUAGGCGGUUUGUCGCGUCGACUGUGAAAACCUACAGCUUAACUGUGGGCUUGCAGUCGAUACGGGCAGACUUGAGUUCGGUAGGGGAGACUGGAAUUCCUGGUGUAGCGGUGAAAUGCGCAGAUAUCAGGAGGAACACCGGUGGCGAAGGCGGGUCUCUGGGCCGAUACUGACGCUGAGGUGCGAAAGCGUGGGGAGCGAACAGG